CCUACGGGAGGCAGCAGUGAGGAAUAUUGGUCAAUGGACGAGAGUCUGAACCAGCCAAGUAGCGUGGAGGAUGACUGCCCUAUGGGUUGUAAACUUCUUUUAUAUGGGAAUAAAAUAUUCCACGUGUGGGAUUUUGUAUGUACCAUAUGAAUACGGAUCGGCUAACUCCGUGCCAGCAGCCGCGGUAAUACGGAGGUUCCGAGCGUUAUCCGGAUUUAUUGGGUUUAAAGGGCGCGUAGGGGGAUUGGUAAGUCAGGUGUGAAAGUUUGCGGCGCAACCGUGAAAUUGCAGUUGAAACUGGGAGUCUUGAGUGCAGGAGAGGUGGGCGGAAUUCGUGGUGUAGCGGUGAAAUGCUGAGAUAUCAGGAAGAACUCCGAUGGCGAAGGCAGUUCACUGGACUGCAACUGACGUUGAGGCUCGAAAGUGUGGGGAGCAAACAGGAUUAGAUACCCGGGUAGUC
RNAcentral lists this ribosomal RNA (460 nucleotides) under uncultured bacterium. RNAcentral describes it as "partial 16S ribosomal RNA". It matches the Rfam family "Bacterial small subunit ribosomal RNA", at positions 338 to 795 of the family's 1533-position model. The record is from RNAcentral.